Molecule: long non-coding RNA, 617 nt
Organism: Astatotilapia calliptera (eastern happy)
Lineage: Eukaryota; Metazoa; Chordata; Actinopteri; Cichliformes; Cichlidae
Source: Ensembl
GGGGAAAGAAGAAAGGAGGGACACCAGGGAAGGAAAAUUAGAGAAUGAGAAGAGGAAGAGGAGGAGAAAUGUGUUUUGAUAAAGGCUGCAGAGGAGGAAAAGUGGGUAGAAGACAAGGAGGAGGAGGGAGGAGAGUACAGAAACAGGAGCCAGAACCAAUUUCAGAUUUUAAACCAUCAGCAUUCAGGCUGCUCUUCACUCCUCAUUUAUUAUAUCGAAAUUUGCAGGACUUUCCAGUGGCCUGAAUACGUUGUGGUGCUUCGUGUCCUGUCAGAAGACAGAUUACUCUUGUCAGGACCACCAGCCGAGUGUGAAUAUCAGACUUAAGGAACAUCUGUGCCGAGUAUAAUCUGGAAGUCCCGAGGUCAAAAUGGGAGAUGCCCCCAAGGGUGGUGGAGAAUGACCAAGCUAAGAUCCUGUGGGACUUCCAGAUACAGACGGACAAAAUGGUGGUGGCUAACCAACCGGACAUAGUGGUGGUAGACAAACAGAAGAAGACGGCCGUAGUGAUCGAUGUAGCAGUUCCGAAUGACAGCAAUAUCAGGAAGAAGGAACAUGAGAAGCUGGAGAAAUACCAAGGGCUCAGAGAAGAGCUCGAGAGGAUGCGGAGGGUGAAG